AGUGAACGCUGGCGGUAGGCCUAACACAUGCAAGUCGAACAGCAGCACAGUAAGAGCUUGCUCUUACGGGUGGCGAGUGGCGGACGGGUGAGGAAUACAUCGGAAUCUACUUUUUCGUGGGGGAUAACGUAGGGAAACUUACGCUAAUACCGCAUACGACCUACGGGUGAAAGCAGGGGAUCUUCGGACCUUGCGCGAUUGAAUGAGCCGAUGUCGGAUUAGCUAGUUGGCGGGGUAAAGGCCCACCAAGGCGACGAUCCGUAGCUGGCCUGAGAGGAUGAUCAGCCACACUGGAACUGAGACACGGUCCAGACUCCUACGGGAGGCAGCAGUGGGGAAUAUUGGACAAUGGGCGCAAGCCUGAUCCAGCCAUACCGCGUGGGUGAAGAAGGCCUUCGGGUUGUAAAGCCCUUUUGUUGGGAAAGAAAAGCAGCAGGUUAAUACCCCGCUGUUCUGACGGUACCCAAAGAAUAAGCACCGGCUAACUUCGUG
Molecule: ribosomal RNA, 492 nt
Filed under: uncultured bacterium
Lineage: Bacteria
Description: partial 16S ribosomal RNA
Rfam family: Bacterial small subunit ribosomal RNA
Source: RNAcentral